Molecule: long non-coding RNA, 381 nt
Organism: Bubalus bubalis (water buffalo)
Lineage: Eukaryota; Metazoa; Chordata; Mammalia; Artiodactyla; Bovidae
Exons: 3
Source: RefSeq, a predicted model, not a curated record
CUCUCCUUCCAAACAAGGAUCCAUGUGACACCACCAUUUCUGAAUCACGAUGGAAGCUGGAAGACAAAGGCACGUAACAUUUGUGACGCGGUUUCUUCCCUCCAAAUCCAGGCAACAUAAAGCUCAAUGCAGGUGACAGUGGUGGACGCUGAUACUGCAGGUGUGAGUGCUGUUGACAACAGAGUGUCAAGACAGAACAGACGAUAUUUUCAUCCCAGAAGGUGCUCAUCUCUCCAUGCCGCCCCAGCUAGUAACAGGUUGCUUUUUUAAAAAAUACCCCAAUGGAUUCUACCACUGCCUCAGAACUCUGAAAGUCAAGUUCAAGAAAAAGCAGGCAUUACACAAGCCUACCUUGGAGGAAUCCGGACCACCACCAUAAAG